GAUGAACGCUGGCGGCGUGCCUAAUACAUGCAAGUCGAGCGAACAGACGAGGAGCUUGCUCCUUUGACGUUAGCGGCGGACGGGUGAGUAACACGUAGGUAACCUACCUAUAAGACUGGGAUAACUUCGGGAAACCGGAGCUAAUACCGGAUAAUAUUUCGAACCGCAUGGUUCGAUAGUGAAAGAUGGCUUUGCUAUCACUUAUAGAUGGUCCUGCGCCGUAUUAGCUAGUUGGUAAGGUAACGACUUACCAAGGCAACGAUACGUAGCCGACCUGAGAGGGUGAUCGGCCACACUGGAACUUAGACACGGUCCAGACUCCUACGGGAGGCAGCAGUAGGGAAUCUUCCGCAAUGGGCGAAAGCCUGACGGAGCAACGCCGCGUGAGUGAUGAAGGUCUUCGGAUCGUAAAACUCUGUUAUUAGGGAAGAACAAACGUGUAAGUAACUGUGCACGGCUUGACGGUACCUAAUCAGAAAGCCACGGCUAACUACGUG
Molecule: ribosomal RNA, 497 nt
Filed under: uncultured bacterium
Lineage: Bacteria
Description: partial 16S ribosomal RNA
Rfam family: Bacterial small subunit ribosomal RNA
Source: RNAcentral